RNAcentral lists this ribosomal RNA (429 nucleotides) under bacterium. RNAcentral describes it as "partial 16S ribosomal RNA". It matches the Rfam family "Bacterial small subunit ribosomal RNA", at positions 355 to 776 of the family's 1533-position model. The record is from RNAcentral.
UAGGGAAUCUUCGGCAAUGGGGGCAACCCUGACCGAGCAACGCCGCGUGAGUGAAGAAGGUUUUCGGAUCGUAAAGCUCUGUUGUAAGAGAAGAACGUGUGUGAGAGGGGAAAGUUCACACAGUGACGGUAACUUACCAGAAAGGGACGGCUAACUACGUGCCAGCAGCCGCGGUAAUACGUAGGUCCCGAGCGUUGUCCGGAUUUAUUGGGCGUAAAGCGAGCGCAGGCGGUUUAAUAAGUCUGAAGUUAAAGGCAGUGGCUUAACCAUUGUUCGCUUUGGAAACUGUUAAACUUGAGUGCAGAAGGGGAGAGUGGAAUUCCAUGUGUAGCGGUGAAAUGCGUAGAUAUAUGGAGGAACACCGGUGGCGAAAGCGGCUCUCUGGUCUGUAACUGACGCUGAGGCUCGAAAGCGUGGGGAGCAAACAGG